AAAUCUAAAGAGUCUCACAAGUCCAUACUCC
This 31-nucleotide small RNA is filed under the name Arabidopsis thaliana (thale cress). RNAcentral describes it as "ATSL251540". Lineage: Eukaryota; Viridiplantae; Streptophyta; Magnoliopsida; Brassicales; Brassicaceae. The record is from RNAcentral.